This 45-nucleotide non-coding RNA is filed under the name Schistosoma mattheei. The record is from RNAcentral. Lineage: Eukaryota; Metazoa; Platyhelminthes; Trematoda; Strigeidida; Schistosomatidae.
ACCCAGAUGACGAGUCCCAAGUUGGACGAAGCGCGCGUCCUAGAU